RNAcentral lists this long non-coding RNA (956 nucleotides) under Heterocephalus glaber (naked mole-rat). RNAcentral describes it as "lncRNA (ENSHGLG00000032985.1)". Lineage: Eukaryota; Metazoa; Chordata; Mammalia; Rodentia; Bathyergidae. The record is from RNAcentral.
ACUCCAGAAACGCUUCCCACUGUUGCUGCCACCCUCUCUGGGCCGUGUUUCGGUAACUCUCCCGAGGAGUCUUCGCAGAGCUGGGAAGGCCAGGCCAGGCCUCCUGUCUGCGCACACAGCGUGUUCCCGGGGAACCUACGGGGCGGGCGCGGUGUGGAUGCCUCCCCAUCCCCGGAGCAGGGGGCUUCGGGAGGGGAAGUGCUCAGGAGGCGCCCGCCGCAGGAGGCGAGCUGUUGCCAGCAGAGGAUGUGGCUCAAGAAAAGAAAUUACCAUCCUGAUUUCAUCUUUGGAGCUACUUUGACUGCAUUGGAUUGCUGAAUUAACUUUGGACCCUGGGUAUUAACUCCUCACUGGGAAAGAUAAACCGUGGAGACUCACCACACCCACCAUCUCUUUCAACUUCCUCUGGCCUGAGGCAGAAGAGACAGAAACAGAAGAAACCAGAGCCACUGAGCUCUUGCUCCCAAGGUGCUCUGCCCGCCACUCCAGAUCUGGGGACACAGAUUCUGGGACAGCAGCUCCACAUCGGGGCCCAGGCCCUGGACCCGAGACCUGGGCAACAAUGGACGUGAAGCUGCCCAGAUUGCAGUGAUCACUGCGGCAGGACAGACGGGACUCAGACGCUCUCCCCGUCCCUGGCUCGUCACUCUGUGCCCUGGGUCCGCAGGGCCCUUCCUCGUCCUCAGCUUUGCGUUCCUGGCCGCAGGGUCACCACUGGCCCUGUGCCCUCCCCUCUUGGAGGCUGUGGUCAGUCAGUGAUGGGGACUUGGCCUGGUCUCAGGCUGAGCCCCUGGGACUCGGGCGUGCAGUGGGGGGAGUGUGUGUGCAGAAGGGGGUCAGUGCCCCUGCUCCGAGAGCUGGCGGUGAGCUCCUCGUGCCCGGGUAUGGUGGCCACCCUGAGCCUCACCUUCACUGGCCUCCAUGAUUCUGGUUGGGCUAAUUGUUUUGCUGUGGUG